Molecule: ribosomal RNA, 433 nt
Filed under: uncultured bacterium
Lineage: Bacteria
Description: partial 16S ribosomal RNA
Rfam family: Bacterial small subunit ribosomal RNA
Source: RNAcentral
AACGAACGCUGGCGGCAUGCCUAACACAUGCAAGUCGAACGAAACCUUCGGGUCUAGUGGCGCACGGGUGCGUAACGCGUGGGGACCUGCCCUUAGGUUCGGCAUACCUCCCCGAAAGGGGUGCUAAUACCGGAUAAUGUCUUCGGACCAAAGAUUUAUCGCCUUUGGAUGGGCCCUCGUUGGAUUCGCUCGUUGGUAGGGUAAAAGCCUACCAAGGCGACGAUCCAUAGCUGGUCUGGGAGGAUGAUCAGCCACACUGGGACUGAGACACGGCCCAGACUCCUACGGGAGGCAGCAGUGGGGGACAGUGGACAGUGGGCGAAAGCCUGAUCCAGCAAGGCCGCGUGAGUGAUGAAGGCCUUAGGGUUGUAAAGCGCUUUUACCCGGGAUGAUAAUGACAGUACCGGGAGAAUAAGCCCCGGCUAACUCCGUG